RNAcentral lists this ribosomal RNA (329 nucleotides) under uncultured eukaryote. RNAcentral describes it as "partial 18S ribosomal RNA". It matches the Rfam family "Eukaryotic small subunit ribosomal RNA", at positions 1470 to 1796 of the family's 1831-position model. The record is from RNAcentral.
CCCUUAGAUGUCCUGGGCCGCACGCGCGCUACACUGAGUGUCUGAGAUACGAGUCUGCCUGGUCCGGCAAGGUCUAGGUAAUCGCUAAAAGACACAUCAUGCUUGGGAUAGAUUAUUGCAAAUAUUAAUCUUGAACGAGGAAUUCCUAGUAAGCGCAAGUCAACAGCUUGCGUUGAUUACGUCCCUGCCCUUUGUACACACCGCCCGUCGCUACUACUGAUUGGAUGUUUAAGCGAGGUUCUCGAACUGCUAGCGACUUAGCUUCGGUGAGGUCGCAGUAUGGGAAGUGAACCUAGCUUUGGUGUCUAGAGGAAGUAAAAGUCGUAACA